This 857-nucleotide long non-coding RNA is filed under the name Cyanistes caeruleus (blue tit). RNAcentral's name for it is "lncRNA (ENSCCEG00000014510.1)". The record is from RNAcentral. Lineage: Eukaryota; Metazoa; Chordata; Aves; Passeriformes; Paridae.
CUUAUCUAUUUACCUUUACAGAGAAACAGAUGCAAAGAUGACAGCAAAUUCUUGCUAGCUGUUAAUCCAAAAAAAUAAGUAGUUGCAUAAUCUUACUCUCUUUCAGAAGAAUGUUUUGGGAUCUCAAGUGCAAAACAGAGCUCUUCUCCAUCAUCAGUAUGAAGUACAGGCCCACUUCUGCAUUCUGUAAAUCUCCACUUCUACUCAUCAUGACAACCAAUGAUCUCAAGGUGUGUCUGAAGCUAUGCUGAAAUACACAAACGCCACAAUGUGAUUAAGCUCUCACCUGCCUGCUUGGAAUCUUAAGACACAGUGUUACCUCAGGAUCACUGACUGCAAAAGAUUUUGUGCCUCACAAAGCCAGAGGGAAUAGCUGCAUACACAGAGUGGGCUCCUGCAAAAUACAGGUGUCUGGGAAAGUCCAUGUUUUGGCAGCAGAUGAGCAGAGAUUGCUUGAUAUUUCCUUCACAUCAGUGAAUAAUCCAAGCAGCAGCACACAAACAAAGCACUGUUUUAGUAACACUCUCUGUUGCUCAUGGGAGAACUUCAGGAGGAAGCAGCUACAGACUUUUGCAUCUGACUCAGGACAAGUACUUCUCUCCAAAGUAGCCCAAGGGCUGAGCAGAAACAGCUGUACAAUACAGAUGAAAAGCCAGAAAGAAUAGGUCGAAGACACAGAUGAAGAAAAUUAAAUGAACAAGAACAUCUGAUACACACUUUACCAAAUACUCAUCUAGUUCUGCCAUUUAUUAAGCAAGGUCUUACAAUGUACUCAGCUAUCUCUCCUACAUUGUACUCCAUAAUGAAGAUACUUUGUUUGGCUUAAUAUGCUAAAUAAAAUAAGGAAAACAUGGGCA